UGGGGAAUAUUGCACAAUGGGCGAAAGCCUGAUGCAGCGACGCCGCGUGAGGGAUGACGGCCUUCGGGUUGUAAACCUCUUUCAGCAGGGACGAAGCGCAAGUGACGGUACCUGCAGAAGAAGCACCGGCUAACUACGUGCCAGCAGCCGCGGUAAUACGUAGGGUGCAAGCGUUGUCCGGAAUUACUGGGCGUAAAGAGUUCGUAGGCGGUUUGUCGCGUCGUUUGGGAAAACCAGCAGCUCAACUGCUGGCUUGCAGGCGAUACGGGCAGACUUGAGUACUGCAGGGGAGACUGGAAUUCCUGGUGUAGCGGUGAAAUGCGCAGAUAUCAGGAGGAACACCGGUGGCGAAGGCGGGUCUCUGGGCAGUAACUGACGCUGAGGAACGAAAGCGUGGGUAGCGAACAGG
Molecule: ribosomal RNA, 409 nt
Filed under: bacterium
Lineage: Bacteria
Description: partial 16S ribosomal RNA
Rfam family: Bacterial small subunit ribosomal RNA
Source: RNAcentral